UACAGAGGGGGGCAAGCGUUGUUCGGAAUUACUGGGCGUAAAGGGCGCGUAGGCGGCCUGUUAAGUCGAACGUGAAAUUCCCGGGCUCAACCCGGGAACUGCGUCCGAUACUGGCAGGCUUGAAUUCGGGAGAGGGAUGCGGAAUUCCAGGUGUAGCGGUGAAAUGCGUAGAGAUCGGGAGGAACAUCAGUGGCGAAGGCGGCCUUCUGGACCAGUACUGACGCUGAGGCACGAAAGCGUGGGGAGCGAACAGGG
Molecule: ribosomal RNA, 255 nt
Filed under: uncultured bacterium
Lineage: Bacteria
Description: partial 16S ribosomal RNA
Rfam family: Bacterial small subunit ribosomal RNA
Source: RNAcentral